Molecule: ribosomal RNA, 274 nt
Filed under: uncultured bacterium
Lineage: Bacteria
Description: partial 16S ribosomal RNA
Rfam family: Bacterial small subunit ribosomal RNA
Source: RNAcentral
CUGCCGGCGACCGGCGCACGGGUGAGUAACACGUAUGCAACCUGCCCUCCGCAGGGGGAUAACCCGGAGAAAUCCGGACUAAUACCGCGUGGUACACCAGUGGGGCAUCCCACUGGUGUUAAAAGGAAGUGAUUCCGGCGGAGGAUGGGCAUGCGGCGCAUUAGCUUGUUGGCGGGGUAACGGCCCACCAAGGCGACGAUGCGUAGGGGUUCUGAGAGGAAGGUCCCCCACACUGGUACUGAGACACGGCCCAGACUCCUACGGAAGGCAGCAG